RNAcentral lists this ribosomal RNA (497 nucleotides) under uncultured bacterium. Its description in RNAcentral is "partial 16S ribosomal RNA". It matches the Rfam family "Bacterial small subunit ribosomal RNA", at positions 28 to 507 of the family's 1533-position model. The record is from RNAcentral.
GAUGAACGCUGGCGGCGUGCCUAAUACAUGCAAGUCGAGCGAACAGACGAGGAGCUUGCUCCUCUGACGUUAGCGGCGGACGGGUGAGUAGCACGUGGAUAACCUACCUAUAAGACUGGGAUAACUUCGGGAAACCGGAGCUAAUACCGGAUAAUAUAUUGAACCGCAUGGUUCAAUAGUGAAAGACGGUUUUGCUGUCACUUAUAGAUGGAUCCGCGCCGCAUUAGCUAGUUGGUAAGGUAACGGCUUACCAAGGCAACGAUGCGUAGCCGACCUGAGAGGGUGAUCGGCCACACUGGAACUGAGACACGGUCCAGACUCCUACGGGAGGCAGCAGUGGGGAAUCUUCCGCAAUGGGCGAAAGCCUGACGGAGCAACGCCGCGUGAGUGAUGAAGGUCUUCGGAUCGUAAAACUCUGUUAUUAGGGAAGAACAAAUGUGUAAGUAACUAUGCACGUCUUGACGGUACCUAAUCAGAAAGCCACGGCUAACUACGUG